Molecule: transfer RNA, 72 nt
Filed under: Ovis aries (sheep)
Lineage: Eukaryota; Metazoa; Chordata; Mammalia; Artiodactyla; Bovidae
Rfam family: tRNA
About the family: Transfer RNA (tRNA) molecules are approximately 80 nucleotides in length. Their secondary structure includes four short double-helical elements and three loops (D, anti-codon, and T loops).
Source: Rfam by way of RNAcentral
UCCCUGGUGGUCCAGUGGCUAAGACUCUGUGCUCCCAAUGCAGGGUCCCGGGUUUAAUCCCUGGUGGGGGAA